AGGCUUGAAACGCCGGGGCGGGAUGCGUAUCUUUGGGAUGUUCCGGCAACGGGACUAUGGACAUAAACGCGCUCGGAAUAAGCGGAUCGGACCCGGGGGCGGUACCCGGCGGCUCCACCAUAACCCCUCAUUGGGGGAGUUUGGGGCCGAAACAGGAUCGACGAACGUGUAAAGGAGUGGCUUUGUCCCGGUGAGGUACCACCGUUAUCGGUCCGAAAAGUACAGUUGCCAAUGACAACCGUGCUCCGGUGGCCGUUGCUGCGUAAGCAGUAGCGACAUCGAAACCUAAGCCCAGGCGUGUAGCAGCGUCUGGCGGGGUCCGCAGGCACCUGGCAACAGAAGCCUGCACU
This 350-nucleotide transfer-messenger RNA is filed under the name Rhodobaculum claviforme. Its description in RNAcentral is "Alphaproteobacteria transfer-messenger RNA". It matches the Rfam family "Alphaproteobacteria transfer-messenger RNA". Rfam says of the family: Bacterial tmRNA, also known as 10Sa RNA or SsrA, is named for its dual tRNA and mRNA-like properties. Lineage: Bacteria; Pseudomonadati; Pseudomonadota; Alphaproteobacteria; Rhodobacterales; Paracoccaceae. The record is from Rfam by way of RNAcentral.